Cydia splendana is the source of this 482-nucleotide long non-coding RNA. RefSeq lists it as uncharacterized. NCBI's taxonomy places the organism in Eukaryota, Metazoa, Arthropoda, Insecta, Lepidoptera, Tortricidae. The transcript has 2 exons. The record is from RefSeq and is a predicted model, not a curated record.
AUAGACGCAAGCAUCUAAUUAACUCAUGCCGGAAAAAUCGACGUAAAUGCGCGUUAGAUAUCACUGAUAUCAGGCAGUGUCUUACAAAUUACAAUAUUUUUCCAGCCAUACAUAAUUUAUCGAACGAACGAGCGAAGAGAAGUUCUAUAUAGGGCUUUUUGACUGAACUAUCAUAGGAUACUUUGUUAGCCGAUAUUUUCCUCGAGUUUGUAAGGGGUUAUUACCUUGCAUUGAAGACGAAAGAAUACCACCAAGGACGACCCAGGACAGACGCUCCUGCCGACGCCGUAUAAGGAGAGCCGACCCCAAGUAAAUGGGAUAAGGCUAGGAUGAAGAAGAAGAGUACAUUUUGUUCUUUGCAUAUCGCGCAACGCUCAAGAUUCAUCUUUUUGGAUUCAUUCGUUAGGCCAAGGUCUCAAUAUUAGCGCGAGUAGUAAAUAACAAUUUUGCUCCCUGAUUAAACAAAUAAAUAUUUUCAUAAU